GACGGAAGGUGCAAGCGUUGCUCGGAAUCACUGGGCGUAAAGGGUGCGUAGGCGGCCUGGUAAGUCUGGCGUGAAAGCCCAGGGCUCAGCCCUGGAAGGGCGCUAGAAACUGCGAGGCUGGAGUGCCGGAGGGGAGAGUGGAAUUCCUGGUGUAGCGGUGAAAUGCGUAGAUAUUGGGAGGAACACCGGUGGCAAAGGCGGCUACCUGGACCGGUACUGACGCUGAGGCGCGAAAGCUAGGGUAGCAAACAGG
This 253-nucleotide ribosomal RNA is filed under the name uncultured bacterium. RNAcentral describes it as "partial 16S ribosomal RNA". It matches the Rfam family "Bacterial small subunit ribosomal RNA", at positions 524 to 776 of the family's 1533-position model. The record is from RNAcentral.